CAACUUUCAACAACGGAUCUCUUGGCUCUCGCAUCGAUGAAGAACGCAGCGAAAUGCGAUACGUAAUGUGAAUUGCAGAAUUCAGUGAAUCAUCGAAUCUUUGAACGCACCUUGCGCCCCUUGGCAUUCCGAGGGGCACACCCGUUU
This 147-nucleotide ribosomal RNA is filed under the name Lactifluus vellereus. RNAcentral describes it as "Lactarius vellereus 5.8S ribosomal RNA". It matches the Rfam family "5.8S ribosomal RNA". From Rfam's summary of the family: 5.8S ribosomal RNA (5.8S rRNA) is a component of the large subunit of the eukaryotic ribosome. It is transcribed by RNA polymerase I as part of the 45S precursor that also contains 18S and 28S rRNA. Functionally, it is thought that 5.8S rRNA may be involved in ribosome translocation. Lineage: Eukaryota; Fungi; Basidiomycota; Agaricomycetes; Russulales; Russulaceae. RNAcentral also lists the same sequence under 3 other names. The record is from RNAcentral.